UACAGAGGGGGCAAGCGUUAUUCGGAAUUACUGGGCGUAAAGGGCGCGUAGGCGGGAUGGCAAGUCGGUCGUGAAAUCCUUCGGCUCAACCGAAGAACGUCGAUCGAUACUGCUGUUCUUGAGGGUUGCAGAGGAGACUGGAAUUCCCGGUGUAGCGGUGAAAUGUGUAGAGAUCGGGAGGAACACCGGUGGCGAAGGCGGGUCUCUGGGCAAUUCCUGACGCUGAGGCGCGAAAGCGUGGGGAGCAAACGGG
Molecule: ribosomal RNA, 253 nt
Filed under: uncultured bacterium
Lineage: Bacteria
Description: partial 16S ribosomal RNA
Rfam family: Bacterial small subunit ribosomal RNA
Source: RNAcentral